This 236-nucleotide ribosomal RNA is filed under the name uncultured bacterium. Its description in RNAcentral is "partial 16S ribosomal RNA". It matches the Rfam family "Bacterial small subunit ribosomal RNA", at positions 99 to 334 of the family's 1533-position model. The record is from RNAcentral.
CGAACGGGUGAGUAACACGUGAGUAACCUGCCCUUGACUCUGGGAUAAGCCUGGGAAACUGGGUCUAAUACCGGAUAUGACUCCUCAUCGCAUGGUGGGGGGUGGAAAGCUUUUUUGUGGUUUUGGAUGGACUCGCGGCCUAUCAGCUUGUUGGUGAGGUAAUGGCUCACCAAGGCGACGACGGGUAGCCGGCCUGAGAGGGUGACCGGCCACACUGGGACUGAGACACGGCCCAG